Molecule: transfer RNA, 69 nt
Filed under: Dipodomys ordii (Ord's kangaroo rat)
Lineage: Eukaryota; Metazoa; Chordata; Mammalia; Rodentia; Heteromyidae
Rfam family: tRNA
About the family: Transfer RNA (tRNA) molecules are approximately 80 nucleotides in length.
Source: Rfam by way of RNAcentral
AGGAAGGUGGCUCAAUGGUAGAGUGCUUGCCUUGCAUGCAUGAGGCCCUGGGUUAGUUUCCUUUUUUUA